This is a long non-coding RNA of Solanum lycopersicum (tomato), 570 nucleotides long. RefSeq lists it as uncharacterized. The record is from RefSeq and is a predicted model, not a curated record. NCBI's taxonomy places the organism in Eukaryota, Viridiplantae, Streptophyta, Magnoliopsida, Solanales, Solanaceae.
UCAAAAUUCAAAAUCUCUCACCUCUCUCUACUUUCUCUUUCUAUUCAACCUCCAUUGAAGGAAUCAAGAAGCUUGAAGAAUAAGACCUAAUCCCUCAAGUUUUCUUCUCAAAUUAUGAAUAAAGUCUUCAUAAGGCAUGGACUCUUUCGUUCUUGGGAGUCCUUUCCCAAGAGGUUUGGGUCGUUGCAGUCUCAAGGUUGUUUUGCAAGAAGACAUGGACUUCUCCUCAAGUUUUGGUAGGUCCUCUAGUCCUAGGAAGGUGCCACGUGUUCUACCUUAGUAGAAUCGAUAUUGUCUGAAUACAUUUAUAUCUUUCCUAUUCUUGAAGACAUUUGUUUCAUCCUCUACUUAUGGGAAUGCUACUUCGAGAAAUGUUGUUCCAGGAUAAACUAGAUAUGUUGCGAGAGAAAUUGGAUAUUUUCCUAUGGCUUGGACCCUUUCACUAUGCCUUAUGUGGAAAAUAUGAAUUUGUAUAAGGGCUAGGACCGAAUGUCCUACUUCUCUUUAGAUGGAUUAAUGUGAGACAAUUUUAUUAUACUAAAUUCUUACUUAUUGGUUAUUUUGACUAAA